AACGCUAGCUACAGGCUUAACACAUGCAAGUCGAGGGGCAGCAUGAACUUAGCUUGCUAAGUUUGAUGGCGACCGGCGCACGGGUGAGUAACACGUAUCCAACCUGCCGAUGACUCGGGGAUAGCCUUUCGAAAGAAAGAUUAAUACCCGAUGGCAUAGUUCUUCCGCAUGGUAGAACUAUUAAAGAAUUUCGGUCAUCGAUGGGGAUGCGUUCCAUUAGGUUGUUGGCGGGGUAACGGCCCACCAAGCCUUCGAUGGAUAGGGGUUCUGAGAGGAAGGUCCCCCACAUUGGAACUGAGACACGGUCCAAACUCCUACGGGAGGCAGCGGUGAGGAAUAUUGGUCAAUGGACGAGAGUCUGAACCAGCCAAGUAGCGUGAAGGAUGACUGCCCUAUGGGUUGUAAACUUCUUUUAUACGGGAAUAAAGUGAGGCACGUGUGCCUUUUUGUAUGUACCGUAUGAAUAAGGAUCGGCUAACUCCGUGCCAGCAGCCGCGGUAAUACGGAGGAUCCGAGCGUUAUCCGGAUUUAUUGGGUUUAAAGGGAGCGUAGGCGGACGCUUAAGUCAGUUGUGAAAGUUUGCGGCUCAACCGUAAAAUUGCAGUUGAUACUGGGUGUCUUGAGUACAGUAGAGGCAGGCGGAAUUCGUGGUGUAGCGGUGAAAUGCUUAGAUAUCACGAAGAACUCCGAUUG
This 693-nucleotide ribosomal RNA is filed under the name uncultured bacterium. RNAcentral describes it as "bacterial SSU rRNA". It matches the Rfam family "Bacterial small subunit ribosomal RNA", at positions 32 to 715 of the family's 1533-position model. The record is from RNAcentral.